This 253-nucleotide ribosomal RNA is filed under the name uncultured bacterium. RNAcentral describes it as "partial 16S ribosomal RNA". It matches the Rfam family "Bacterial small subunit ribosomal RNA", at positions 524 to 776 of the family's 1533-position model. The record is from RNAcentral.
UACAGAGGGGGCAAGCGUUGUUCGGAAUUACUGGGCGUAAAGGGCGCGUAGGCGGCCUUCUAAGUCGAACGUGAAAUCCCCGGGCUCAACCCGGGAACUGCGUCCGAUACUGGAAGGCUUGAAUCCGGGAGAGGGAUGUGGAAUUCCAGGUGUAGCGGUGAAAUGCGUAGAUAUCGGGAGGAACACCAGUGGCGAAGGCGACUACCUGGCCUGUUCUUGACGCUGAGGCGCGAAAGCUAGGGGAGCAAACGGG